Molecule: ribosomal RNA, 568 nt
Filed under: uncultured bacterium
Lineage: Bacteria
Description: partial 16S ribosomal RNA
Rfam family: Bacterial small subunit ribosomal RNA
Source: RNAcentral
UGGGGAAUUUUGGACAAUGGGCGCAAGCCUGAUCCAGCAAUGCCGCGUGCAGGAUGAAGGCCUUCGGGUUGUAAACUGCUUUUGUACGGAACGAAAAGGCUCUGGCUAAUACCUGGGGCACAUGACGGUACCGUAAGAAUAAGCACCGGCUAACUACGUGCCAGCAGCCGCGGUAAUACGUAGGGUGCGAGCGUUAAUCGGAAUUACUGGGCGUAAAGCGUGCGCAGGCGGUUUUGUAAGACAGAGGUGAAAUCCCCGGGCUCAACCUGGGAACUGCCUUUGUGACUGCAAGGCUGGAGUGCGGCAGAGGGGGAUGGAAUUCCGCGUGUAGCAGUGAAAUGCGUAGAUAUGCGGAGGAACACCGAUGGCGAAGGCAAUCCCCUGGGCCUGCACUGACGCUCAUGCACGAAAGCGUGGGGAGCAAACAGGAUUAGAUACCCCUGGUAGUCCACGCCCUAAACGAUGUCAACUGGCUUGUUGGGGUCUUAAUUGACUCAGUAACGAAGCUAACGCGUGAAGUUGGACCNCCUGGGGAGUACGGCCGCAAGGUUGAAACUCAAAGGAAUUG